AGAGUUUGAUCAUGGCUCAGGACGAACGCUGGCGGCGUGCUUAACACAUGCAAGUCGAACGGAAAGGCCCUUCGGGGUACUCGAGUGGCGAACGGGUGAGUAACACGUGGGUGAUCUGCCCUGCACUUUGGGAUAAGCCUGGGAAACUGGGUCUAAUACCGAAUAUGACCACGCUCUUCAUGGGGUGUGGUGGAAAGCUUUUGCGGUGUGGGAUGGGCCCGCGGCCUAUCAGCUUGUUGGUGGGGUAAUGGCCUACCAAGGCGACGACGGGUAGCCGGCCUGAGAGGGUGACCGGCCACACUGGGACUGAGAUACGGCCCAGACUCCUACGGGAGGCAGCAGUGGGGAAUAUUGCACAAUGGGCGCAAGCCUGAUGCAGCGACGCCGCGUGAGGGAUGACGGCCUUCGGGUUGUAAACCUCUUUCACCAGGGACGAAGCGCAAGUGACGGUACCUGGAGAAGAAGCACCGGCCAACUACGUGCCAGCAGCCGCGGUAAUACGUAGGGUGCGAGCGUUGUCCGGAAUUACUGGGCGUAAAGAGCUCGUAGGUGGCUUGUCGCGUUGUUCGUGAAAACUCACAGCUUAACUGUGGGCGUGCGGGCGAUACGGGCAGACUAGAGUACUGCAGGGGAGACUGGAAUUCCUGGUGUAGCGGUGGAAUGCGCAGAUAUCAGGAGGAACACCGGUGGCGAAGGCGGGUCUCUGGGCAGUAACUGACGCUGAGGAGCGAAAGCGUGGGGAGCGAACAGGAUUAGAUACCCUGGUAGUCCAA
This 773-nucleotide ribosomal RNA is filed under the name uncultured bacterium. RNAcentral describes it as "bacterial SSU rRNA". It matches the Rfam family "Bacterial small subunit ribosomal RNA", at positions 8 to 798 of the family's 1533-position model. The record is from RNAcentral.